This 510-nucleotide ribosomal RNA is filed under the name Cryptosporidium parvum. RNAcentral describes it as "SSU rRNA". It matches the Rfam family "Eukaryotic small subunit ribosomal RNA", at positions 547 to 1091 of the family's 1831-position model. Lineage: Eukaryota; Apicomplexa; Conoidasida; Eucoccidiorida; Cryptosporidiidae. The record is from RNAcentral.
AUUGGAGGGCAAGUCUGGUGCCAGCAGCCGCGGUAAUUCCAGCUCCAAUAGCGUAUAUUAAAGUUGUUGCAGUUAAAAAGCUCGUAGUUGGAUUUCUGUUAAUAAUUUAUAUAAAAUAUUUUGAAUAUUUAUAUAACAUUAACAUAAUUCAUAUUACUAUAUUUUUUAGUAUAUGAAAUUUUACUUUGAGAAAAUUAGAGUGCUUAAAGCAGGCAUAUGCCUUGAAUACUCCAGCAUGGAAUAAUAUUAAAGAUUUUUAUCUUUCUUAUUGGUUCUAAGAUAAGAAUAAUGAUUAAUAGGGACAGUUGGGGGCAUUUGUAUUUAACAGUCAGAGGUGAAAUUCUUAGAUUUGUUAAAGACAAACUAAUGCGAAAGCAUUUGCCAAGGAUGUUUUCAUUAAUCAAGAACGAAAGUUAGGGGAUCGAAGACGAUCAGAUACCGUCGUAGUCUUAACCAUAAACUAUGCCAACUAGAGAUUGGAGGUUGUUCCUUACUCCUUCAGCACCUUAA